Molecule: ribosomal RNA, 156 nt
Filed under: fungal endophyte sp. AP350
Lineage: Eukaryota; Fungi
Description: 5.8S ribosomal RNA
Rfam family: 5.8S ribosomal RNA
About the family: 5.8S ribosomal RNA (5.8S rRNA) is a component of the large subunit of the eukaryotic ribosome.
Source: RNAcentral
AAACUUUCAACAACGGAUCUCUUGGUUCUGGCAUCGAUGAAGAACGCAGCGAAAUGCGAUAAGUAAUGUGAAUUGCAGAAUUCAGUGAAUCAUCGAAUCUUUGAACGCACAUUGCGCCCUGUGGUAUUCCGCAGGCAUUCCUGUUCGAGCGUCAUU